CAAGGGGGUGGUGGCGGAAAGGUACUACGAGCGCAGAGUUGUACGUCCGUGCUCGGCUCGACUUGAGUGAGAUGAAAAUAGAUACUAAGAAGAUCGAAACUCCCUUAAGACGAUGCUCAUGGACCAGUCUAGCGCCAUUCCAUCGAGGUGCAUGUCGGAAGGACGCGAAUAAGAUCCGAACAAGAGUGUGGGAGAGUAGUUGGUUACUUGUCAGGUGGUGGUAGUCUCCUCGAAUACCCAAGACACGAUCCAUUGCAGCAGCAACGUGUACUCCUGUACGGUCCACGUGGAAGAUGCACGUGGUCAUACACGAUAGAUCGA
This is a long non-coding RNA of Vespa mandarinia (Asian giant hornet), 321 nucleotides long. Lineage: Eukaryota; Metazoa; Arthropoda; Insecta; Hymenoptera; Vespidae. The record is from RefSeq and is a predicted model, not a curated record.